RNAcentral lists this long non-coding RNA (1783 nucleotides) under Triticum aestivum (bread wheat). Its description in RNAcentral is "long non-coding RNA (TAES_LNC017559)". Lineage: Eukaryota; Viridiplantae; Streptophyta; Magnoliopsida; Poales; Poaceae. The record is from RNAcentral.
AGGUUUGCUGAGAUGGAGUCAACUCUUCUUGAGAUGUUGUCUGAAGACUGCAAGCCUGAUGUGUGGACAAUGAAUUCUACUCUGAGAGCUUUCGGUAGCAGUGGUCAGAUUGAGACAAUGGAAAGCUGCUACGAGAAGUUCCAGGCAUCUGGUAUCUCCCCAAACAUUAAGACCUACAACAUUUUACUUGAUUCCUAUGGUAAAGCCAAAAUGUAUGAGAAGAUGGGAGCAGUGAUGGAGUACAUGCAGAAGUAUUACUAUUCUUGGACAAUAGUCACAUACAACGUAGUUAUUGAUGCAUUCGGAAGGGCCGGCGAUCUUGAACAGAUGGAAUACAUCUUUAGAUUGAUGAAAUCAGACCGUAUAAAACCUAACUGUGUCACCCUCUGUUCAUUGAUUAGAGCAUAUGGAAGGGCUGACCAAGUAAAGAAAAUAGAGACAGUGUUAAGAGUUGUUGAGAAUUCAGAUAUCACGUUGGAUAUUGUGUUUUUCAACUGUUUGGUGGACGCAUAUGGGAGGGUGGGGCGCUUGGCAGAGAUGUGGGAUGUUCUCAAUAUGAUGAAGGAAGAGCAAAUAAGACCAGACAAGGUAACCUGCACUACCAUGAUCAAAUGGUUUCUCGUCAAAGGGAUUGAUGAUCAUCGUGUUCAGUACCUGCGUGACCUAAAAGAUGGGCGAUCUACAGACAACAAGUAGGUCUGAACAUUAAAACAGAUACUCCCUCCGUUCACUUUUGUAAGACCGUUUAGACAUUUAAGAAAACACCCAAAACAGUUCAAUUUCAGCUGUCUAAAACGUCUUAUGAAAGUGAACAGAGGGAGUACUGAACUUAUGGGUUCUGUUCUCUGCAUUUUUCUCCAAGAAGAUGGAAUGACCUGCGUAAAAGCAUCACUCAGUUUGCCCUUUGCAAAGAGGCAUCAGUCAUAUUCUUCUCUUUGAUGCCCUUAAGGAGAAACUUGAGUGUUACUGAAUCAAGCAUUUGUCCGUGGCAAUUCAGAGGCACAAAAAUUUGCCUUAGAAGUUCAACAGCUGAAGUACAGAACUCUCUGGUAGCAUAUGUCAGAUAGCAAAGUUGCCUAUGGUUAUGGCAUCCCAAGAAUGAGUUGAUGAUCGCAAAUGAAUCCAAACUGGCUUUGCGAUUGAAGGGAAGUGGACAAGAGAGGAAUUUGAAGCCCUCCGUCAGUAGCUAUGAGUUUCGUGACAAUCAAAUAGAACUACUAGCGGUGUGCUGGUGACACUCUUCAGAUUAUGCUGUGUCUUGUGUCUUGAUGUAUUGCUCUUACAUCUGUACAUGACAUCAUAUGUCCUGCUGGCUUACGCAAAGAUGGAGAGAAGCUUAAUAUGCUAACAAAAUCAAAUGUUGUAGUGUUCUACCUUUGAAUUUUUGGGAAAUGAUCUAGUUGAUUGUUUGGUACUUCACCUAACAUUGUUGACAUCACUGUCCUGCAAAAAAGGAAACUGGCACCUAACAAAUAGACCGAGGAAUUGUUGUAAAUGGGGAUUCUAUUCUAUCUUGACCUAUAUUCAACAAAGGCUCUAAAGUUUAUGGAAUGGAAUAUUGUUUGUGGAACUAUCUUUCUGUUUCUUUAAAUUGCCGUCCGACCAUUUAUCGUGGUAUUCUUUUUAAAAUAUCAAGUAGACCAGGGCUUGUAGCAGCUCUGAGUUAACUGUGGAUGUUCUCAGCUUUGAGAAACCAAGUAAAAGAAGCUACAAAGCUCUUCAUGAAUUCAGGUUUUAUUUGUCUAGCACUAUCAACUAAAAUGAGUAUUUUCCAUACUUUGUC